AACAAGUGGCUUUACUUUCUUCGCUAUAAAACGCAGACUCAGAAUCAGGUUGCUACUAAUCUCAGAUGGCGACGACGGCGUUGAACGUUCCACAGAUGAGGCCCAAGACGAAGAUCGUCUGCACGCUCGGACCUGCAUCGAGGUCUGUGCCCAUGGUCGAGAAGCUUCUCCGAGCAGGCAUGAACGUCGCUCGAUUCAACUUCUCUCAUGGCUCCCAUGAAUACCACCAGGAAACGCUUGACAAUCUCAGGGCCGCCAUGGAAAACACCGGUAUUCUCUGCGCCGUCAUGCUCGAUACUAAGGUAUCAAACUCUUUUUCGUUUUCUGUUUUCUUCCAAACCCCUACGUUUUGUUUGAUUGAUGAUUGGUUACGUUUCUGAUAGGGAUUUAGACUGCGUUUUUGUGUGUUAAUGUAUGAGUUAAUCUGAGAUAGUGUUGCUUAAUGCACCUUUAAUCACACAUAGAUUAGGGUUAACUGUUCAAAAGAUGGUAAGUAUUCACAGCCUGUUUAGUUGCCAAUAGAUUAGUUAUUUUUUUAAUAGGCGAAUGAAUGUUAGUUGUUAGUAAUGUUAAGUAAAUUAGUCGAGACAAUGCUUUUGCUUUUACCCGAGUCAAUAAUGAAAAGGAAGUUGAACUUACUUUUCGCUUAAGGAGUGAGAAACAGGAUCCGAUGAGUAAAUAAAUGGACACUUAUUGAAGGAAAUUGUUGGAUAGACACUUGAUUGGAUGGGUGAUGUGAAGAGGAGUCAUAUUAUGUGGUAAUAUAUGAUGAGAGGUAUAGGAAGAGAGAUGUGACAUAUGAUGUGGUCGAGAAAGAGAGAUGGAGAUAGAGAGAAAAACGAUGACUACUGAUUGAAACAUAAAACAUUCAUUGCAUUAACUGUUAGGAAAGCUGCAUUUUCUAAUAAAUAUAUGUCAUUUUUUUAUUGCUUAACCAAUGAUUUAACUGCUGUCAUUAACAUCUAAUUAUUAGAGUUUGAUUUGAUUGAAAUCAAUUUUAAUAAUGUGUAGUUACAUGUCAAAUCCCUUCUAAUCUGGUUUUAUAUCGAGCUCAAUGGCGUAGUGGGAUGAGGCUUUGUUGUUGUUGUUGUUGUAUAGUUACAUGUCAUGAUUAGGUCGGUUCACUCUCUCACCUGGUACUCAUAUAUUAGUCCCAUCAAGUGAAAGAUGAUAGGAGUUGGUUUUAUACUCAAUCUUACAUGGAUGGUUAAUAUCAGAUUUAAGUAAAACCAAUCUUGAUAAUACAUGUUCGAUUAGUUAAGUUUAUGUUUUCUCUAUUUCACAUGAACAGACUCACACAUUAUCCAUAAUUAUGAAGAAUAGUUUAUAACCUGAUCAUUUGGGCAUAUUGUGUUUCUUAUCAUGCAUUGAAUGCUUAUUCGGAAUGAAUCCAAGGCAUAGCUGUUGUUUGACCUAAUAAAGUGAACUACAUUCUCAAGUUCCUUUCAUAUCCAUCUUUCAUUUUAUGUAUCUAUCUACAUUGAUGUAGGGGCCUGAGAUUCGAACCGGAUUUCUCAAGGAUGGCAAGCCGAUCCAACUUAAACAUGGUCAGGAAAUAACCAUUUCAACUGACUAUAGCAUAAAGGGAGAUGAGAAUACGAUCUGUAUGAGCUACAAAAAGUUGGCUGAGGAUGCGAAGCCUGGGAGUGUCAUACUCUGCUCAGAUGGCACCAUAUCAUUUAAAGUCUUGUCAUGUGACACAAAAUUGGGUUUGGUUCGAUGCCGCUGUGAGAAUUCUGCCAUGCUUGGCGAGAGAAAGAAUGUUAAUCUGCCUGGAGUUGUAGUUGAUCUCCCGACUUUGACUGAAAAAGACAAGGAAGAUAUCAUGGCCUGGGGAGUUCCCAAUAAAAUUGACAUGAUUGCGCUUUCUUUUGUUCGAAAAGGUUCUGAUCUGGUGGAAGUUCGGAAACUGCUGGGACACCAUGCUAAAAACAUUCUUCUCAUGUCAAAGGUAUGAUAUGUUAUUGUCAUCGUCAUCAAUUCAUCAUUAUUACUUAUUAUUAUCAUGGAAAAAAUUAGUGAUUUUGGAGCUGGUUUGAAAAUGUGUCUGAGUCAAGUAUGAUGUCAAGAGGUUCAGGCAUUAUCAUUGUUAAUGUGAGUUAUUGGAUAGCAUCAAACAAAUUUUUGAAGAUCUUUUAAGGGACUAUCUUUCGAGAUUCUACUAAUGAUUGUUAUCACUGAUACAUGUUAAAUUUAAUUACUUAUUUCUGAUCAUUUUUUUCCUCUCUAUUACUUUGAACGUGUGUGGCAGGUUGAAAAUCAGGAAGGGGUUGCAAAUUUUGAUGAAAUCCUUGCAAACUCAGAUGCAUUUAUGGUGGCACGUGGUGAUCUUGGAAUGGAAAUUCCAAUAGAGAAGAUAUUUCUUGCACAGAAAGUGAUGAUUUAUAAGUGCAACAUCAAAGGAAAACCAGUUGUUACUGCAACCCAGAUGUUGGAGUCAAUGAUCAAAUCUCCUCGGCCAACAAGAGCUGAAGCUACUGAUGUUGCAAAUGCAGUCCUGGAUGGCACUGACUGUGUGAUGCUUAGUGGUGAAACAGCUGCUGGAGCUUAUCCAGAACUUGCUGUUCAAACAAUGGCUAAAAUAUGUGUUGAAGCAGAGAGCACCCUUGACUAUGGAGAUGUGUUUAAAAGGAUAAUGGAGCAUUCACCAGUACCUAUGAGCCCAUUGGAGAGUCUAGCUUCUUCUGCUGUUAAAACAGCCAACUCAGCUAGAGCUGCUCUUAUCUUGGUUUUAACUAGAGGAGGAAGUACUGCAAAAUUAGUGGCGAAAUACAGGCCAGGCAUGCCAAUUCUUUCUGUUGUUGUUCCUGAGAUUAAGACUGACAGCUUUGACUGGUCAUGCAGUGAUGAGGCCCCAGCCAGGCAUAGCUUGGUAUUCCGAGGAUUAAUUCCAAUUUUAAGUGCGGGUUCUGCUAGAGCUUCUCAUGCAGAAACAACCGAUGAAGCUAUAGAAUUUGCGAUUCAACAUGCCAAGACAAAGGGUCUGUGCAAUAAUGGAGAUUCUGUUGUGGUUCUGCAUCGUGUGGGUAAUGCAUCAGUCAUCAAAAUCUUGACUGUGAAAUGAUCUCCAGUUAAGAGUACGGUGAAAUUCUACAGCAGUUUUGACAAAAACAAUUUUGUGGGGAAGUGGUCAUCACAUACAUUUUCUGGUUUACAUUGGAUGAUGCAAAACAUCAAUUAAUUUUUUAGGAUGGUUCCUAUCCAUAUCUUACUGUUUUUCUUUUUGAUGUUUGAUUUAUAGUUCUUGGUUUUCAAUUUUGUGGCGACUUCUUUUCAUUUGUUAAGAUUACGUACGAAAGAUUUGGUAUACUGAAAGUGGCCAUCUUCAGGAUUUUGAUUUUCUUACUGGCAGUGUUUCAGAUCUGAAAUUUGUGGGUACGCAUAUAUGCACAAUUCUCAUUUUAUGUUCCCUUUUUCACUUAUAUUUUCACUUUCGUGCAAACUUGAUUAUGGAUGAAAAAUCAUGUCAAUUUAGUGAACUUAUAUGAAUUUUAUGUUGAAAGGAGAGUUAAAGUGAGUGUUGUUAGCACUACUCUUAUAAGGUAUCUAAUUGCUAACAAAUCACAAUAUUUUGAAGGCUUGGAACUAUAUGUGAAUAUGUCCAUUAAGUCUUGGCACUAUAUGUACUACAUCCAUUAAGCACAUUCCUACCUGAAUUGUGGCUUUCUACUGGUUCCUUAGCCUAGUUAGCUGAAGACUUAUGUAGCGUUUGGAAGCUCAAUAGAACGGAACAGAACAUAACAGGACCACACAAUUAAUUACAUAUAUAUCCUUACCAUGUUUAAUGUUUGAUUACAUUAAAAGUAUAUUCAAUAGAAUAACUUUUUUAUAUAUAUACAAAUAUAACUUAUAAAACUUAAAAAUUAUUAUUAUUUUGACUUUCAUCACGUUCUCCAAUAUUGAUUUUCAAAUUUCAAUCUCGUUCAUAAGAACAACGUCAAUAUUGAUAAUGAAUACUGGUUUUCAAUCUCAUUCAUCAUGCUCUCCAUAUUGAUAUUGAUAUGAUGUUAUCGUGCAGUCGAAUAAAUUGUUAUAAAUAAUCGUGAGAGCAAUUGAUGUUACUGGUAAAUGAUGAAAAAAAAAGAAGUGAAUUGAUAAGGUGAUAUAAGUUUUAAAUUCAUGGGCAAUUUUGUCUUAUAAUUGGGUGUCCUGUUCUGUUCUCUUCCGUUCGACCAUUUUUUACAGAACUAAAAUGUUCUAUUCCAAAGCCUUAUGUCAUGUUUUGUUCCAUCUUAAAAACAUAACAAACACUGAAUUUAUUCUUAUAUGUCUACCAAACGCUGCCUAAGUCUUCUAACAUAUAUGGGCUAGCCCCACUUUUCAACCACUAUCUAUAUAUUGCGCUAAAAUCUCACUUAAAAAUGUUGAUUUUAUAAAAAUAAAAAAAUAAUUGGCACAUCAAAAAGAUAAAUUGCACCCUUAAGAGAUUGAUCCAUGGACCUUUUCAACCAACCCGCAUGUCACUUAGCUCUUACCACUUGACAUAUCGUUGGAGGAUUGAUUUUAUAAAAAUUAAACCAAUAAAUGUGUUAAAAAUAAUGUAUUGCCAACAUAUAAAAAAAUGUACCGUACACUAUAACAUAACCAAUUCUGCUUUUUGCGGUUAAUUUUUAUCUAUCAAUUAAUGAUUUAAUUUUUCUAAAAACGUAUAAAUAGAGUUUCAAAUAGGGCUUUUCUCAGCAACUUAGUGCAAAGCCCUCCAAAUUCCGCAGCUGUGGGCGGUGAUUUGUGAAUGGAAAGCAGAACAAAGAACUUGUAAGAUUCAGUUGAGUGAUUCUUGAAUUUGCAUUAUUCAUGAUGAUGGACGAUUUGCCGGACGCACUUCUUUGCCACAUACUUUCUUUUCUCCUAACCAAGAAAGCCGUUGCCACAAGCGUUCUCUCCAAGAGGUGGAUUCAUUCGUGGCGAUCACUCACCAUUCUCUACUUUGACGAUCAAGACUAUUUCAUCCUCAGAGGCGGCGAAGAUAAGGGCCAUGCUCACUUUGCUCAGUCCGUGAAUGCAGUCAUCCUCUCCUGAGAUGAUCACCAACCUAUCCACAAAUUUCGCCUCAAUUGUUUCAAUGCUAGUUCUAAAUAUCUUGAUAUUCUCAAUGUCAACGCAUGGCUUAAUGCGGCAGUGGAUCGCCAUGUUCAGACCUUAGAUAUCUCCCUCUGCUGUGAACGACGAACACCGUUAAUCUCGUAUGUCAUAUUCAAUUCUACCACUCUUGUGGUUCUCAAGCUGCAGCUGUUAAAUUUGGAACCUCCGGUUUCCUCUCUUGAUGUUGACCUUCCGUUGCUUAAAGUCCUGCAUCUGCAAAACGUGGUUUUCUCAAAACACGAUUGUCUCGCAAUGCUUCUUUCUGGAUGCCCUAUUCUUGAGGAUUUCAAAGCAAGGGAUUUAUGUUUUGGUACUCAUGUUACUGACAAGGAGUUUAAAACUUCACCUAAAUAAUUACAUUUUUUAAGAUGCGUUACAACCUUAAAAACAUAGAGUUAUUUUGAAACGGAGGAAGUACACAACUAAACAAUCAUACAGAAUCCACCUCUCUCCUAUCUCUUCUCCACCUCAAUCUACCAAACACAGUAUUAACCAUUAAGUUACUAUAGAUCCACACAAGCAACCUAAUUUGGUUAUAUACUAGGAGUAUGCUUUUUUUUUUUACCUAAAUUGGUUUUGCAAUAAAAAUAUUCCAAUAAAAAAGGAGAAUCUAAAUGGAAUAAAUUCGACGAAUCCAAUCCAAUAUAUAAAAAGAAAAGAAAAAUAGACAGUACCACUGUCACGGAAACCCAGCAGCCAACAAGGGUCAAACAAGCGUUGUCUGAUCGGGAACAAGUGGCUUUCCUUCCUUUUUCGAAAACCAAUCAGAGUUAGGUUGCUGAUCUGAGAUGGCGACGGCGACGGCGACGGUGGCAGCAGAGAAGAAGCCCAAGACGAAGAUCGUCUGCACGCUCGGACCCGCAUCGAGGUCUGUGCCCAUGGUCGAGAAGCUUCUCCGAGCAGGCAUGAACGUCGCUCGAUUCAACUUCUCUCAUGGCUCCCAUGAAUACCACCAGGAAACGCUUGACAACCUCAGGGCUGCUAUGGAAAACACUGGUAUUCUCUGC
RNAcentral lists this long non-coding RNA (6089 nucleotides) under Lotus japonicus. RNAcentral's name for it is "long non-coding RNA (LJAP_LNC001782)". The record is from RNAcentral. Lineage: Eukaryota; Viridiplantae; Streptophyta; Magnoliopsida; Fabales; Fabaceae.